Molecule: ribosomal RNA, 683 nt
Filed under: Rhizopus microsporus
Lineage: Eukaryota; Fungi; Mucoromycota; Mucoromycetes; Mucorales; Rhizopodaceae
Description: partial large subunit ribosomal RNA
Rfam family: Eukaryotic large subunit ribosomal RNA
Source: RNAcentral
AAAAGCGGAGGAAAAGAAAAUAACAAUGAUUUCCUUAGUAACGGCGAGUGAACAGGAAAAAGCUCAAAGUUGGAACCUGUUUGGCCUAGCUAAACCGGAUUGUAAACUGUAGAAGUGUUUUCCAGGCAAGCCGGACCGAUAAGUCCUUUGGAACAGGGCAUCAUAGAGGGUGAGAAUCCCGUCUUCGGUCUGAGCAUUUGCCUUUUGCGAUACACUUUCAAAGAGUCAGGUUGUUUGGGAAUGCAGCCUAAAUUGGGUGGUAAAUCUCACCUAAAGCUAAAUAUUGGCGAGAAACCGAUAGCGAACAAGUACCGUGAGGGAAAGAUGAAAAGAACUUUGAAAAGAGAGUUAAACAGUAUGUGAAAUUGUUAAAAGGGAACCGUUUGGAGCCAGACUGGCUUGUCUGUAAUCAGUCUAAGCUUCGGCUUGGAUGCACUUGCAGGCUAUGCCUGCCAACGACAAUUUGGCUUGAGGGAAAAAACUAAGGGAAAUGUGGCCCAUCCGUGGGUGUUAUAGUCCCUUAGAAAAUACCUUGGGCUGGAUUGAGGUACGCAGCGAAUGCUAUUUGGCGAGUUGGCUGGGAAUAUUUUCUGAGGUGCUUUGGUACUGAGGUUGAUAUUCCUAGUUACACUUCUAUUCGCUUAGGUUGUUGGCUUAAUGACUCUAAAUGACCCGUCUUAAAC